UACGGGGGGGGUAAGCGUUGUCCGGAAUUACUGGGCGUAAAGAGCUCGUAGGUGGUUUGUCGCGUUGUUCGUGAAAACCGGGGGCUUAACCCUCGGCGUGCGGGCGAUACGGGCAGACUUGAGUACUGCAGGGGAGACUGGAAUUCCUGGUGUAGCGGUGGAAUGCGCAGAUAUCAGGAGGAACACCGGUGGCGAAGGCGGGUCUCUGGGCAGUAACUGACGCUGAGGAGCGAAGGCGUGGGGAGCGAACAGG
RNAcentral lists this ribosomal RNA (253 nucleotides) under uncultured bacterium. Its description in RNAcentral is "partial 16S ribosomal RNA". It matches the Rfam family "Bacterial small subunit ribosomal RNA", at positions 524 to 776 of the family's 1533-position model. The record is from RNAcentral.